GUGAUGAACAGUUGCUCCUAACGUUCGAGCGUAAGGUCCUUCGUACUAUUUUCGGAGCGAUGCGUGAAGGCGAAAGGUGGCGGCGACGAUACAACUUUGAAUUGAAACGUGAUUUUGGCGAGCCGGAUAUUGUGGCAGUGGUGAAAGUCCAACGGUUGAGGUGGGCAGGACAUGUAGCACGCAUGGACAGGAACAGAGCCCCCUCAAUGUUAUUCCGAAAUGAUCCAGAAGGGCGAAGAGGAGUAGGACGCCCUAAAAUGCGAUGGAUAGAUGGCGUCGAAUCAGAUCUUCGGGCGCUGGGAAUAAGAGGCCAAGGCCCACAAGUGGCUCCAAUCGGAAG
This is a long non-coding RNA of Bradysia coprophila, 340 nucleotides long. The record is from RefSeq and is a predicted model, not a curated record. NCBI's taxonomy places the organism in Eukaryota, Metazoa, Arthropoda, Insecta, Diptera, Sciaridae.